UGUAUGGUAAUUAUGGUGCCUUUCUGUUUUUCCUAGGCACCUUUUCAGUCCAUUCUACUUCGAUUCACUUUCACGCCUCUCCAUAUAUUUAGUUCACCUCUUUCUAUUUUCAUCCUAUUCAAAACUAUGGCCAAAGGUUCCAAGAUGUUCACACUUGGCAGUAGAAAGAGCUCUCGCAAUAAAGAAAGGGAAAGUCUCUUCCCUUAUCCCUCUUGACUCAGACUUCUAUGAUCCUAUCUUUCCUCAAGUAUCUUCUAAUUUGACCCAAUUUGGCAUGCAUCUCUUCAUUCGCGAUGACUUUUAUAGUUCUAAGAAUAAAGUGAAGUUCGAUAUCAAUAACCCUCUAAAUGUGAAAAUUAAUUUUUGGAGACCUUUGAACGAAUUUCUAUUUCACUCUAUGAAGAGGUUAUCUCUUCUUCAUGGCAAAAUAGUCAAUUUAGACUUCUUGAAUUCUUGCAUUGUACCUUAAAAAUCCUAUUUGAAUACCAGGAUGGUUAUAGGAUGGUUAUCUCUUGUGCUUUCUUCUUUUUUGAUUGAUAACAAAGGGGGAGAAUAAGGAAUAGGGGAAAAGAGAAAUCGUCAACACUCUAAAAAAGGAAUAAAAUGAACCUCUAUAGAUUGAGUAAGGAUACUGUACAAAUAUAUCAAAGGCCUUGAACAUUCAUAAAGGAAGAAAAGCAUCUAUGAAGAUAUUACAACAUGUUGUAAUAACUCUUGGGCUAUGUCUAAAUAUAUCAAGAAGUAUAUUAUGAAAAUAUCCUCUAUCUCUAAAUAGGUUGAAGAGAAUCUCCAUAGAAGUACCAUCAAAAGGCAUGCCAUUCCAAGAAAGGAGAAAGGAUCUGGUGCAUUAAUCAGGGUGCUUAAAUCACGAAAUUAGUCGUCUCUCCAUGUAUAUACAAUAUCUUAGAUUAGUUUUUUCUUUAUAGUCCUUGCUUAUCUUUGGAAAUUGAAUAUUUAUUAUUCAACUUCCUACAGAGAAAAAUCCUUUGGGCCGUCUUGUAACUUCCAAUGGCUAGUAGUAGUCCAAUCAUCAUUAUAUAAGCAUUGAAAGUCAGAGGAAGAGAAAUACUCUUAUCUCAACCUUCUCUAGUUCUUUGCACUGCUUUAUUUAAGUAUUGUAUUCUUUUUAAAGGUUUAUUGUGUCAUUAAAAAGAGAAGAGAAACACAUUGUAGGUGAAACCUUGUAUCAAAGUGUGAAAGAAAAGAAUAGAGAAUGAGUCCAAGCCAAAUAACAUGACUCAAUCCUGUAUUUAGAUAUUAUUUGCAACAUAAUUAGUAGAAUUCCUUGCAACCCAA
Molecule: long non-coding RNA, 1296 nt
Organism: Capsicum annuum
Lineage: Eukaryota; Viridiplantae; Streptophyta; Magnoliopsida; Solanales; Solanaceae
Exons: 2
Source: RefSeq, a predicted model, not a curated record